This 584-nucleotide long non-coding RNA is filed under the name Homo sapiens (human). Its description in RNAcentral is "HSALNT0077210". The record is from RNAcentral. Lineage: Eukaryota; Metazoa; Chordata; Mammalia; Primates; Hominidae.
GAGCAUCCGCGAGAACUUCCUUCUAAGCUAAAUAUGUCAUCUAGCACCUGAAAAAAUUUAAGUCUGGUUCUUUCUGGAUAAAAGAAAGCGCACAGGAUUUAAGUAGCUGUAUAACAUUUCACAAGAUGAAUGUACCACAAAUUUUAAUCCUUCUAUUGUUGAUGGAUUUGGAUUAUUACCAACUUUUGGCCUUUGAGCCAGUCUAGGAUUCACGAUGUAACCAUGGAGCAGAUGCUUUGAGGUGAAUGACAUUUCCAGCAUUGAAGGACAGCAUAGACACGGAAAUACAUUUUAUGGCGUGCCAGUGGGUGUGGUGGGUCUCAGGGAUGCAAGGUGGGUGAGACUCCCUGUCUGUUCCUGAGGAGCUCUGGUGAGUGGGAAGGAGAAGGGAACACUCGAAGAGCAUGGCAGCCUUAAAGAGGCAGUGGGCUGAGGAGGCUCGCUCUGUGUUCAGAAAUUGGAACAGGGUUGUAGAAAGGAUGCUGUGUGGCUGUUAAAGUAAACUCCACCCAUUUUAGAAUUUUCCUUGGAAGCGGCCUCAAUGUCUAGAAAAGAGUGGGAAAAAUCUUUCCCCUUUUCAAAUU